AUGGCGGCGAGCGCAGCGGGCUGGUCCUCGGCGGUGACGGAGGGGAGGGCCGGGGCCUCGCCCCAGCCGACGGCGCCACUGGAGAGCUCGACCCGCACGGCGACGUUGGCGACGUCCUCGAGGCGCGAGGAGGCGAUGUUCAAGGGUGUGGCGAGCGGCACGUUGAGCGGGCGCGCCUCAGCCGCUGCCACGUCCACCGAGAAGGUCUCCUUGAGCGCGUCGAAGCCGAACCCUCCAUCGGCUGCUGCAGCGUCGGGAGAGACGGCGACGGCGACGGCGACAACGAGAUGGUGCGGAGGCGGCUGGCGCGCCGCCGCGAGUGGAGUGGGUCUGCGAGAGAGAAAGAAAGAAGAAGCGGGUUGGAACGGGGCGGCCGCAUCUGGGACCUCUCUUCCUUCUAGUCGAAGGAAACCUGGGGCCUGGGGGCAGCGACGAACGUGUUAG
RNAcentral lists this ribosomal RNA (444 nucleotides) under Triticum aestivum (bread wheat). RNAcentral describes it as "partial small subunit ribosomal RNA". The record is from RNAcentral. Lineage: Eukaryota; Viridiplantae; Streptophyta; Magnoliopsida; Poales; Poaceae.